Lonchura striata (white-rumped munia) is the source of this 182-nucleotide non-coding RNA. NCBI's taxonomy places the organism in Eukaryota, Metazoa, Chordata, Aves, Passeriformes, Estrildidae. The record is from RefSeq and is a predicted model, not a curated record.
GGCUCUGCUGUCACACAGCCUGUGCCAGAGACCUAACCACACCCUGGCAGGGUGAGAUACCAGCUUGGAAGAGCUCCUCCUAAAAGUGCUGGGUUGGAUAUCCACCCACUGCAGGCAGUAGAUGCCAUGAGCAUUCCCUGUCAGCACCACUCAUGUGGACAAAUAAAUGCAUUUACCCCUUG